AUUGAACGCUGGCGGCAUGCUUUACACAUGCAAGUCGGACGGCAGCACAGAGAAGCUUGCUUCUUGGGUGGCGAGUGGCGAACGGGUGAGUAACAUAUCGGAACGUACCGAGUAAUGGGGGAUAACUAAUCGAAAGAUUAGCUAAUACCGCAUAUUCUCUGAGGAGGAAAGCAGGGGACCUUCGGGCCUUGCGUUAUUCGAGCGGCCGAUAUCUGAUUAGCUAGUUGGUGGGGUAAAGGCCUACCAAGGCGACGAUCAGUAGCGGGUCUGAGAGGAUGAUCCGCCACACUGGGACUGAGACACGGCCCAGACUCCUACGGGAGGCAGCAGUGGGGAAUUUUGGACAAUGGGCGCAAGCCUGAUCCAGCCAUGCCGCGUGUCUGAAGAAGGCCUUCGGGUUGUAAAGGACUUUUGUCAGGGAAGAAAAGGCUGUUGCUAAUAUCGACAGUUGAUGA
Molecule: ribosomal RNA, 455 nt
Filed under: Neisseria flavescens
Lineage: Bacteria; Pseudomonadati; Pseudomonadota; Betaproteobacteria; Neisseriales; Neisseriaceae
Description: bacterial SSU rRNA
Rfam family: Bacterial small subunit ribosomal RNA
Source: RNAcentral